This 727-nucleotide ribosomal RNA is filed under the name uncultured bacterium. RNAcentral's name for it is "bacterial SSU rRNA". It matches the Rfam family "Bacterial small subunit ribosomal RNA", at positions 40 to 768 of the family's 1533-position model. The record is from RNAcentral.
CGGCAGGCUUACACAUGCAGUCGAGGGGUAUAUUUCUUCGGAGAUAGAGACCGGCGCACGGGUGCGUAACGCGUAUGCAAUCUACCUUUCACAGAGGGAUAGCCCAGAGAAAUUUGGAUUAAUACCUCAUAGUAUUAUGAAAUGGCAUCAUUUUAUAAUUAAAGUCACAACGGUGAAAGAUGAGCAUGCGUCCCAUUAGCUAGUUGGUAAAGGUAACGGCUUACCAAGGCUACGAUGGGUAGGGGUCCUGAGAGGGAGAUCCCCCACACUGGUACUGAGACACGGACCAGACUCCUACGGGAGGCAGCAGUGAGGAAUAUUGGACAAUGGGCGCAAGCCUGAUCCAGCCAUGCCGCGUGCAGGAUGACGGUCCUAUGGAUUGUAAACUGCUUUUGCACAGGAAGAAACAACGCUACGUGUAGCGUCUUGACGGUACUGUGAGAAUAAGGAUCGGCUAACUCCGUGCCAGCAGCCGCGGUAAUACGGAGGAUCCAAGCGUUAUCCGGAAUCAUUGGGUUUAAAGGGUCCGUAGGCGGUUUGGUAAGUCAGUGGUGAAAGCCCAUCGCUCAACGGUGGAACGGCCAUUGAUACUGCCAGACUUGAAUUAUUAGGAAGUAACUAGAAUAUGUAGUGUAGCGGUGAAAUGCUUAGAGAUUACAUGGAAUACCAAUUGCGAAGGCAGGUUACUACUAAUGGAUUGACGCUGAUGGACGAAAGGCGUGGGUAG